AAUGUGGCAUCACAACACACAGGGCACAGCUUUCCUCACAUCAUCCCAUCUAAUCCUCAACACCAACAACCCUGGGAGGAGAUACGGUUAGCUCCAUUUCCUGCCACAGAUGAAGCUCAGAGAGGCAAUGUCAGUUACCUGAAGCCACACAGCUCGAAACCAAGCCCAGUGUGGCCUACCUCCACAGCUGGACACUUGCCAUACAGAUGGCAUGAGGCUGCUUUCUGUAUUCAAUGAAGAUGACACAGUCCCAUAUCCCCCACUGACUGACCCUUCCUCCCCUGAGCAGGCAUGGCUCCCUCUGUCUCUGCCUUGGUCCUCAAUGAUUUAAGUCCCACACUUCCACUGGCCACCUGAGAGCCAACAGCAGUCAGUCACAGCAGGACGGGCCAGCCCUGGGUCUUAAA
Phyllostomus discolor (pale spear-nosed bat) is the source of this 407-nucleotide long non-coding RNA. RefSeq lists it as uncharacterized. NCBI's taxonomy places the organism in Eukaryota, Metazoa, Chordata, Mammalia, Chiroptera, Phyllostomidae. The transcript is spliced from 2 exons. The record is from RefSeq and is a predicted model, not a curated record.